UACGUAGGGGGCAAGCGUUGUCCGGAUUUAUUGGGCGUAAAGAGCGUGUAGGCGGCCAAGCAGGUCCGCUGUGAAAACUCGAGGCUCAACCUCGAGACGUCGGUGGAAACCGUUUGGCUAGAGUCCGGAAGAGGAGAGUGGAAUUCCCGGUGUAGCGGUGAAAUGCGCAGAUAUCGGGAAGAACACCCGUGGCGAAGGCGGCUCUCUGGGCCAUAACUGACGCUGAGAAGCGAAAGCAUGGGGAGCGAACAGG
Molecule: ribosomal RNA, 253 nt
Filed under: uncultured bacterium
Lineage: Bacteria
Description: partial 16S ribosomal RNA
Rfam family: Bacterial small subunit ribosomal RNA
Source: RNAcentral